CCUACGGGAGGCAGCAGUGGGGAAUAUUGCGCAAUGGGCGAAAGCCUGACGCAGCGACGCCGCGUGAGGGAUGAAGGUCUUCGGAUCGUAAACCUCUGUCAGCAGGGAAGAACGGUCACUGUGCUAAUCAGCAGUGAAUUGACGGUACCUGCAAAGGAAGCACCGGCUAACUCCGUGCCAGCAGCCGCGGUAAUACGGAGGGUGCGAGCGUUAAUCGGAAUUACUGGGCGUAAAGCGCUCGUAGGCGGUAUGUCAAGUCAAGGGUGAAAUCCCCGCGCUCAACGUGGGAACUGCCUUUGAAACUGGCAAACUGGAGUGUGUGAGAGGAUAGUGGAAUUCCAGGUGUAGGAGUGAAAGCCGUAGAUAUCUGGAGGAACAUCAGUGGCGAAGGCGACUAUCUGGCACAUAACUGACGCUGAGGAGUGAAAGCGUGGGUAGCAAACAGGAUUAGAUACCCCGGUAGUC
This 465-nucleotide ribosomal RNA is filed under the name uncultured bacterium. RNAcentral's name for it is "partial 16S ribosomal RNA". It matches the Rfam family "Bacterial small subunit ribosomal RNA", at positions 338 to 795 of the family's 1533-position model. The record is from RNAcentral.